GGACCCUUAGCUCAGCUGGUUAGAGCGCUCGCUUGAUAAGCGAGAGGUCACUGGUUCAAGUCCAGUAUGGUCCA
Molecule: transfer RNA, 74 nt
Filed under: Coelastrella saipanensis
Lineage: Eukaryota; Viridiplantae; Chlorophyta; Chlorophyceae; Sphaeropleales; Scenedesmaceae
Description: tRNA-Ile
Rfam family: tRNA
About the family: Transfer RNA (tRNA) molecules are approximately 80 nucleotides in length. Their secondary structure includes four short double-helical elements and three loops (D, anti-codon, and T loops). Further hydrogen bonds mediate the characteristic L-shaped molecular structure. tRNAs have two regions of fundamental functional importance: the anti-codon, which is responsible for specific mRNA codon recognition, and the 3' end, to which the tRNAs corresponding amino acid is attached (by aminoacyl-tRNA synthetases). tRNAs cope with the degeneracy of the genetic code in two manners: having more than one tRNA (with a specific anti-codon) for a particular amino acid; and 'wobble' base-pairing, i.e. permitting non-standard base-pairing at the 3rd anti-codon position.
Source: RNAcentral